AUUUCCUUUGGCUCAAACUUGGUUCAUAUUGCCUAGUUGAAAUAAAUUAUUGGGAAGAUAUUUGUCAUUUGUCCCAAAGGAAAAUGACAUAUAGACUAUCCAAUAGCAUCAUAUGCAUCAUUAAUGAAACCAACCUUGUAGUAGAUAAUGUUUCCGUUCCCUUCAAAAGCUAGACAUGCCUUUUGUUAAUCCUAUUGGUUAUGAUGAAAUGAUGCGUCGUGACAAUUAUUAUAUGUUUGUAAUCUUAUAACAAAUUGGUUACACUUGUAGUUCUUUUCCUUGAUUGGAAUGAGGUCAAAAUUAGCUAGAAUACUAUAUGUGCACAUGCAAUGAGGGUGCGAAAUUUGCCAACAUGCAAUAAAAAUGACAUGGAAUUUCAUGC
Molecule: long non-coding RNA, 382 nt
Filed under: Elaeis guineensis (African oil palm)
Lineage: Eukaryota; Viridiplantae; Streptophyta; Magnoliopsida; Arecales; Arecaceae
Description: long non-coding RNA (EGUI_LNC034342)
Source: RNAcentral